This 414-nucleotide long non-coding RNA is filed under the name Vulpes vulpes (red fox). Its description in RNAcentral is "lncRNA (ENSVVUG00000021529.1)". Lineage: Eukaryota; Metazoa; Chordata; Mammalia; Carnivora; Canidae. The record is from RNAcentral.
UGAAGCAGUAAAUUUAUUUUAUUUGUCUUAGAAAUAUUCUUGCAUGCUAAGUUCUCCAAACUGUCUUUUUAAAAAUAAAUUUGCCUAGGAGUUAACAGAGAAGAGGAAAUAAUAGCCUACUAAAUACUAAAUUGAUUAUCCUUUGAGAGUCCUCAUAACAUCUUUCAAAAGAUUACAUAAGAUUACAUAAGACGUUGGAUGGCAUCUACAUGGCGAUACGUUCACCAUUCCAAAUGGAAGAAGGCUCAGGGGAAUUUAAAGUUUCAAGACCUUCAGACUCAUCCAUGUCUGCAUUCUCUAGCCUGAGAUCCUGUUCCUUCUCCACUGGUGUCUUUAGCUAAAAAACCUGGGGCAUUGAGCAUUAAUUGGUGCUGAAAGUUAACCCUUACAAUAAAUUCUUAUCUAUGGUCCUCA